This 440-nucleotide ribosomal RNA is filed under the name uncultured bacterium. Its description in RNAcentral is "partial 16S ribosomal RNA". It matches the Rfam family "Bacterial small subunit ribosomal RNA", at positions 338 to 795 of the family's 1533-position model. The record is from RNAcentral.
CCUACGGGGGGCUGCAGUGGGGAAUAUUGCACAAUGGGGGAAACCCUGAUGCAGCGACGCCGCGUGAGUGAAGAAGUAUUUCGGUACGUAAAGCUCUAUCAGCAGGGAAGAAAAUGACGGUACCUGACUAAGAAGCCCCGGCUAACUACGUGCCAGCAGCCGCGGUAAUACGUAGGGGGCAAGCGUUAUCCGGAUUUACUGGGUGUAAAGGGAGCGUAGACGGCAGCGCAAGGCUGGAGUGAAAUCCCAUGGCUUAACCAUGGAACUGCUUUGGAAACUGUGCAGCUAGAGUGCAGGAGAGGUAAGCGGAAUUCCUAGUGUAGCGGUGAAAUGCGUAGAUAUUAGGAGGAACACCAGUGGCGAAGGCGGCUUACUGGACUGUAACUGACGUUGAGGCUCGAAAGCGUGGGGAGCAAACAGGAUUAGAUACCCUAGUAGUC